This 631-nucleotide ribosomal RNA is filed under the name uncultured fungus. Its description in RNAcentral is "eukaryotic LSU rRNA". It matches the Rfam family "Eukaryotic large subunit ribosomal RNA", at positions 23 to 641 of the family's 3401-position model. The record is from RNAcentral. Lineage: Eukaryota; Fungi.
ACCCGCUGAACUUAAGCAUAUCAAUAAGCGGAGGAAAAGAAACCAACAGGGAUUGCCCUAGUAACGGCGAGUGAAGCGGCAACAGCUCAAAUUUGAAAUCUGGCUCUUUUAGAGUCCGAGUUGUAAUUUGCAGAGGGCGCUUUGGCUUUGGCAGCGGUCCAAGUUCCUUGGAACAGGACGUCACAGAGGGUGAGAAUCCCGUACGUGGUCGCUGGCUAUUGCCGUGUAAAGCCCCUUCGACGAGUCGAGUUGUUUGGGAAUGCAGCUCAAAAUGGGUGGUAAAUUCCAUCUAAAGCUAAAUAUUGGCGAGAGACCGAUAGCGAACAAGUACCGUGAGGGAAAGAUGAAAAGAACUUUGGAAAGAGAGUUAAACAGUACGUGAAAUUGUUGAAAGGGAAACGCUUGAAGUCAGUCACGUUGUCCGGGGAUCAACCUUCUCUUGAGUUGGAUCACUUCCUGGUUGACGGGUCAGCAUCAAUUUUGAUUGUUGGAUAAAGGUUAGGGGAAUGUGGCAUCUUCGGAUGUGUUAUAGCCCUUGAUCACAUACAACGGUUGGGAUUGAGGAACUCAGCACGCCGCAAGGCCGGGGUUUUACCCACGUACGUGCUUAGGAUGCUGGCAUAAUGGCUUU